UAUCACUAAGGUCCAGUGUCCAGUUCCCUCCCAUGUGUUUGAUGUUGUGUUGUGGUUUUGUCCUGUUGUGACACUUGUGUCUGGUUGAAUGAGGAUAGAAGAAUGGACGGACAACAAAUUAGCAUGGACGAGGCCAGUAGUUCCGAUCAGGAACAGAGCCCUCAACUUCAGUUUGCUCGCCCUUCUAAAAAACGUUCACAUUCGCUCGAAUCCGAGAGACCAGGAAUAAUAUAUCUCAGCGCCGUGCCCGAAUUCAUGACUGUUCAGAGGUUGAGAAACACAUUCGAAGAAUUUGGGGAAAUAAAUAGGACCUUUUUUCAACCUGUUGAGAAGAGCUACUCAUACAAGAAAGGCCUUUUGUUUAGUGAGGGCUGGGUGGAAUUCCGACAGAGGAAAGUGGCCAAGUAUGUCGCCGUGGCUCUCAACAACACUCAAGUUGGUGGCAAGAAAAGAAAUCCGUGGUACAACUGUAUCUGGAACAUAAAAUACUUGCCUAAAUUUACCUGGACAGAUGUGAAUGCUGAUAGAGAGCUGAAGAGAGCGACGUACGACAGUAGGAUCCGUGCUGACAUUUCUCAGGUCAAAAAACAAACAAACUAUUAUGUGAGUAACAUUGAGAAAAGUAAAACUUUGCAAGAAAUGAAGAAGAGGAAGGAGAAAAAAGGUGAGGUUUUUGAAAAAAGAACAUUUGGUGAUGGUGCACAGCAGAAAUUGACAGAUGAGGAAAUUCUGGCAAAUAAGAAAGGCAAGAAAAGGAAAAGCAGUGAUGAGUCCAGUGAAAAGAAAGCAAAACUGCAGAGAAAGACAUUCACAGGUGCUAAUGAGGAUGCGAGCCGAUCCUUUGUAAUGAAAAACAUUUUUGGCUCCUCAAGUUGAUGUUCUUUGUGGUGAUGGAUUGUGCUACAAGUGGCUCUUGAGAUUGAAGUGAUUCCAGAUAGUAGGGCGUUACCAACGACUAUGUAUAACACCUCAAACAUGAGUGAAAGUCGCAGUUGAAAAGGUUUCGUUCAAAAAUAAAACUUUGAAAUACCAUA
RNAcentral lists this unclassified non-coding RNA (1034 nucleotides) under Aplysia californica (California sea hare). Its description in RNAcentral is "pre-rRNA-processing protein esf2, transcript variant X1". The record is from RNAcentral. Lineage: Eukaryota; Metazoa; Mollusca; Gastropoda; Aplysiida; Aplysiidae.